This 1007-nucleotide long non-coding RNA is filed under the name Setaria viridis. RNAcentral's name for it is "long non-coding RNA (SVIR_LNC009041)". The record is from RNAcentral. Lineage: Eukaryota; Viridiplantae; Streptophyta; Magnoliopsida; Poales; Poaceae.
ACAAUGGCUCCAUGGGGAGAGAAAGAGGUGUGCUACCAGACUAGGAUUUUCUGGUGGUUGCAGAAAUGAAGAAAUAGCUUACUCGACAAGCGAAGAGAACGGGGUAAUACCGUAAUAAUAUAAACAUGGAUGAGGACAUCCCUCCGUUGCCCCGCAAAGAAAUGUAAAAUCAUAAAGCUCUCCUCCAAUCUCUCCAUGAGUGCCACAUCAUCGUGCUAUUUCCAAUAAAUCAAUUUCAUUUCACGGUUUCCAACACACAUCAAUGGCGCUUUUGUAUUUUCCAAUACAUUAAUUUCAUUUUAUGGUAACAUUUAUUUUAUAGAAACUAACUGCUCCACACAAUACAAAGUUUAAUUGGUUUUUAUUUCCAAGGCAUACAAGCCAUAGGAUUUAAACAAGCGAUAAAUGUGCCCAUGAAUAGCUAAAUAUCAUUGUUAUAUAGGAAAUUCCGGUCCGAUAAACUGUAGUUCAAGAAGACAAUCCGGUGUACAUGAACAGAUAGAUGCAGUUGUUACUCAGGAAGGUCUUUUCUGCAAAACAUUUAUCUUUCUUGGAACUGCAACCUCUGCCUCAUUCAUAACUUCCCCCUUCUCUAUCUAUUACGAGUCCUCCAUCGUUCUCCCUCUACCUUCUUCUUUGGCUGUCUAGUCAAUCUCUCAUCAAUCAUGGUUCCACUGCAACCUCUGCCUCGUUCAUAACUUCCCCCUUCUCUGUCUAUUACGAGUCCUCCAUCGUUCUCCCUCUACCUUCUUCUUUGGUUGUCUAGUCAAUCUCUCAUCAAUCAUGGUUCCACUGCAACCUCUGCCUCGUUCAUAACUUCCCCCUUCUCUGUCUAUUACGAGUUCUCCAUCGUUCUCCCUCUACCUUCUUCUUUAGCUGUCUAGUCAAUCCCUCAUCAAUCAUGGUUCCACUGCAACCUCUGCCUCGUUCAUAACUUCCCCCUUCUCUGUCUAUUACGAGUCCUCCAUCGUUCUCCCUCUACCUUCUUCUUUGGUUCUCUAGUCAAU